Molecule: long non-coding RNA, 601 nt
Filed under: Limulus polyphemus (Atlantic horseshoe crab)
Lineage: Eukaryota; Metazoa; Arthropoda; Merostomata; Xiphosura; Limulidae
Description: uncharacterized LOC111089371, transcript variant X2
Source: RNAcentral
CAGAAGCUGGCUUUUCAAGUUUUUCGACAAUCGCAAGAACAGAAGAGACAAGACAGGUUACUACGGUUAUUAUUCUGGAUCUCUCUUUGACUUUGAGACCUUGAGUUAACCAUUCCUGUAGAUUAUUGCUGACAUUUGAAGACAUUUUAUUCUUGAUGAGUUGAUCCAUGAAAAGGAAAGGUACAAUACCAUCUGGACUGAAUUGUAUCAGAAUUUUACAGACCUUACUGGCUUCUAAAUACCCUUCUUGCUUUACUGGAUUUUUGUCUAAAUAUUUUAUGAUCCAUGUCUGUCUGUUUUAUUUUGAGUAUGUUUUACAUAUAUCACUGUAUUAUAAUGGUUGAAAAGAAUCAUGUAAGUGACUUACCGAGGAUCACCUCUUUUAAUAUUGCUGAUGCAGCGUUUAACCAUGAGCUUAGUUUGAUUCUAUAGAUAAAAUUGGCCUCAGUGACGUGGAGGUUCGGGAUUAGGUAACAGAUUGAACAGUUAAUAGUGACAAGAUGUUUUGUAUAAGAAAAUGCACAGUGCAGCUGUAGCUCUGGAGAAAGGUCUACAGGCUUGUUCUGUUUGUUAUUGAAAAUUAAAAUAUCUUGUUUGCCUA